Molecule: non-coding RNA, 1694 nt
Organism: Pelobates fuscus (common spadefoot toad)
Lineage: Eukaryota; Metazoa; Chordata; Amphibia; Anura; Pelobatidae
Source: the annotation of a RefSeq genome assembly
GUCUAAGUCACUGUGACUACUUUGACUACUGGGGCCAAGGAACCCAGGUCUCCGUCUCAUCAGCGACAAUAAUUGUUCCCCAUGUCUACCCAUUGAUCCAAUAUGGAAUCGGAGAGAGCCCCUCGGUUACCUUCGGCUGCUUGGUAGAUAAGUAUUUUCCGGAACCUGCUACUAUAUCAUGGAGUACAACUUCUGGGGGGACACCUACGGACGUGAAGACAUUCCCUUCAGUUCAGAUUGCAGACCCCAUCAGUUAUCAUCGUAGCAGUCAAGUGACUGUCAGCAAAAACGACUGGGAGAGCAACACUUACCUGUGCACAGUUAGUCAUAACAGCAGCAACUAUCAGACAGUCAUUCCAAAGGGUAACAGUUGUCAUGAUCCAUUAAGCGCAAAGCUUCUACAAGGUUCCUGUCCCGAAAACAGUGCAUCGGAUAAUGUAGAAUUGGUUUGCCAGAUAUCCAAUGUCAUUUCCAAUAAUUAUCAAGUCAAAUGGUUUAUCAAUGGUAAAGAAACAACUCUUGAAGAUAAAGUUAUUAAAGUUGGGCCAUCCAGCUACACCAGAACAGUCAAUGUCAAACAGGCGGUAUGGAACAGUGGUGUCUCAGUCAUGUGUCAAGUACAUGAUUCUGGGAACGUAGCUAAUGACACCAUAAGAAAAUGUUCAGACAGCCUUAAUUGUUUUGGAAUCAAUGUGUUCAUUAUGCGUCCAACUGUUGAGGAUCUUUUUGUCCAUAAAAUUGCUCGUAUUACCUGUCUGGCAUCCAAUAUUCCAAGUAGUACUGGCUAUCAGUUUAGCUGGUUCCAGGGUGAAGAGCAAAGCUCAAACUAUUCUACAGAAGACUCAAUCCUAAACAAGAAUGGAACCUAUAGUGCAUCCAGUGUUCUCACGACAUCCCCCGACGCUUGGCACUCUAAAACAAAAUAUACCUGCACAUUCACCUACGGUACGCUUCAGUCAUCUCCAGUCAUCAAAACCAUAUCCAAGGAUUUAGAAACCAAGUUGUUCCCACCAAGUGUUGCUGUCUUCCCACCUACACCCGAGGAGAUAAGCUUAAAAGAAGGUGUCACUUUCACAUGUAUGGUCUCGGAUUUCUAUCCAAUGGAUGUUCACAUGGGAUGGAGCAAAAACGACAUUGAGAUUCCCAAAGGAUCGUAUGACACCAGUGACCCAAAGGCUGAUAAUAACCAGAGAUACUUCGCUGUCAGCAAGAUGACUGUGCCAUCUACUGAAUGGGAUAAUGAUGACAUGUACAGCUGUGUGGUUGGUCACGAAGCUCUCCCAAUGCAUUUUACAAAAAGAUCCAUUGACAAAAACACCGGUAAACCAACCAAUGUCAAUGUGAAUGUCUACAUGUCUGAUUCCCAACUCUCUUGUCCCUAAGAAUUUCUGUCAAACAACCUUCUACUGCCCCCUGCCUGCUGACGACAUUUUGUUUUGUUUCAGUCCCUUGCCACAAUGAAUUCACUUAUUUCUUGUGUGAAAAUUGGAAGCAAACCUUACAACAGACCAAAUAGCAUUUACUAAAAAAAAUAAAAUACAAUAUCACAUUUCUUUGUGAUGCUCAUUGUCCUUUUCCUUCUCUAAUUGCUGCUGAUUUUUUCUGCUUCCUAUCCCUUCCAUUGUUGUGUUUUUUGAUCUUGUGAUGUUGGUGUGUACAAAUUAUAAAUGCUGCAAUAAAUUCUGGUAAGAAAA